UGAGGUAGUAGAUUGAAUAGUUGUGGAGCCCUGCGCUCUCUCUCUGAGAUAACUAUACAAUCUACUGUCUUUC
This 73-nucleotide microRNA precursor is filed under the name Danio rerio (zebrafish). Its description in RNAcentral is "Dre-Let-7-P2a4a_pre stem-loop". It matches the Rfam family "let-7 microRNA precursor family", at positions 7 to 78 of the family's 84-position model. From Rfam's summary of the family: This family represents the microRNAs (miRNA) let-7 and mir-98. let-7 was identified from a study of developmental timing in C. elegans, and was later shown to be part of a much larger class of non-coding RNAs termed miRNAs. The extents of the hairpin precursors are not generally known and are estimated based on hairpin prediction. RNAcentral also lists the same sequence under 2 other names. Lineage: Eukaryota; Metazoa; Chordata; Actinopteri; Cypriniformes; Danionidae. The record is from RNAcentral.